CUCUUCCUUCGUCAGGUCUUACUUGAGCUUCCUUCUCAUACUCUUGCUUCUUGUUCUAGACCAAAGAGAGCUUUCUCGACAAGUUAAUGAGUGAGCUUGACUGUGACCUUCUUGUACUAAUUCAUAUCUACAUCUCUUGCAAUACCUACUUCUCUUGCUUUCUAUAGAGGUUAUGUUGUAAGGGUUAUAGGUUAGGUUAUUAGGUAAGAGUGUUAUAGUAGCAUCAUUACCUUCCCAGAUGUAAUAAAUCUUCUUGUCCUUCUUUCUCGGCAAGUUAAUGAGUGAGCUUGACUGACCUUCUUGUAUGUAGUAAUUCCUAUCUGCUUCUCUUGCUUUACGGAUUGAAUAAGUUGUGUUGUUGGUUCAGUCUUUCUUUACUCGUCACGUUAGGUUGUCCUCAUCAAGGAAUAGAGUAGAGCAGCUUGUAGGCAGUAAAGCUUUAAUUAAUGAGAAGGAGAGCUAGCUUCUUAAUGAGUAAGUAGUUCUAAGUUCAAGUAGAGAGUAGGUCUAAUCUAAAGUAGAUAGGGAGUAUCGAGUUCUAAGUGUAAUGUAAGUAGUAGGGAGUAGGAUAAUAAGUAUAGAGUUCUAAGUGAAAGAAGUAGAGAGUAAGUCGUAAGUGUCAGUAUAGA
Long non-coding RNA from Cucurbita maxima (winter squash), 629 nucleotides. RefSeq lists it as uncharacterized. Lineage: Eukaryota; Viridiplantae; Streptophyta; Magnoliopsida; Cucurbitales; Cucurbitaceae. The transcript is spliced from 3 exons. The record is from RefSeq and is a predicted model, not a curated record.